GUUUGUUUUUAGGACAAGGAAAUAUGAACAAAUUGAAUUCAUAAUCUUUUUCUUCAAGGGAUCACCUUAUCAAAAAUAAGCUCUAAGGUAUUUAUUUAUGCAUGUGAUGAACAGUACACAAACAGGGGGCCCUGUUUUUGUUAACACAUCUCCAGGCUGAAGCAGAGGUUUAGAGAAUAAUUACAAACAAUUUCUUUCACCACUGUGCUUCAGAGCUCUGUGCUUUGAAUUUGCUUAUGGUUUCCCCUUUCUAACAGUUUCAACCUCUUGCGGUAUAGCAGUACCAAGCUAAGUUACAUACGUCUGAUCAUUUUGUGUCUUGCAAGCCUAUCUGCCUCUUCCUUUAAGGAUAGAUUGAGCAUUCUGGCUUACUUGCUGUCCAGCUUGGGGCUGGGUUAGCCCAGUGGGAGACUUUAGACAUUACAGAUUAUUUCCAUCUCUCUCUGCCAUCCUCUUUUGUCCCCAACUAUUUAUUGAGGCCCCCUUUAUUUAAUAACACUUCCUAGAAAUUUCAAAUGAUGCCUUCAAUCACAUACUAUUGGCCACAACUCAUUCUCAUGUCCACACUCCUACACUGUUAGUGGGAAGAUAAGUUGGUACAGCCACUCUAGAAAAUAUUAUGGAGGUUCCUCAGAAAACUAUACAUAGAGUUACCAUAUGACCCAGCAAUCCCACUCCUGGGCAUGUAGCCAGACAAAACUCUAAUUCAAAAAGAUACAUGCACCCCUAUGUUCAUAGAAACACUACUGACAAUAGCCAAGACAUGAAAACAACCUCAAUCUGUCUGUCAACAGAUGAAUGGAUAAAAAAGGAUGAAAAUGUGGUCCACAUACACAGUGAAAUACUACUACUAGCCUUCAAAAAGAAUGAAAUAAUGCCAUUCCCAGCAACAUGGAUGAAACUAGAGAAUAUCAUACUAAGUGAAGCAAGUCAGAAAGAGGAAGACAAAGACCAUAAUAAAUACCAUAUGAUAUCACUUAUAUGUGGAAUCUAAAAUCUGACACAAAUGAACCUACCUAUGACACAGACUCACAGACUUAGAGAACAAACUUGUGGUUGCCAAGGGGCAGGGGGGUCGGGGAGGGAUGGAGUGAGAGGCUGGGGUUAGCAGAUGCAAGCUGUUAUACACAAAGGGAUAAUCAACAAGAUCCUACUGUAGAGCACAGAGAACUACAUUCAAUGUCUUAUGAUAUAAUGGAAAUUUAAAAAGAAUGUGUGUGUGUGUGUGUGUGUAUAACUCAAUCACUUUGUUGUACAGCAGAAAUUAGCUCAACAUUGUAAAUCAACUAUAUGUCCAUAAAAAUACACUUAAAAAAAAAAUCAGGGUUCGACUCAGUAGAAGAUGACCAAAUGGAUGUUGGGAUUAACUAGUAGACUCUACCACUGGUUUGUAUUCACUUACACUCUUAACAUCAGGUUAGGAGAGCUUCUUUUUCUCCACGUUUUCAUUAAAAUUUAGUAUUUUCAGACACUUUGAUUUUUGUCAAUCUGGUAGACACUUAUUUUAAAAAAUUUUAUAUCCCUUUCAUACUCCCAUUGCCUCUUCCUCCCAGCCCAAUCUAAUAUAUCUAAUAAACAUCUGUUUGUUGUGCAUGAUGGGUAGUAUUUGGUAUGCAUCUAUUUUUCAUUCUGUAGCAAGUGUCACAUUGUAGGUCUUUUUUUCACUAAGCCCUGUAUUUUUUAACAUCUUGCUAUGUGUGCAGCUAUCCUACUGCCUCUGGCUGCUACAUAAUAUUCUGUGAUUUUCACCUGCACAUCAUGCUUGUCUGUGCUCCCAAUGACGGACACUCGGGUUGCCUUCAAUUCCCCAACAUCACUCUUGCCUCACACCAAGCCCAUGUGAGUAUGGUCAUUCUAGUUUUGCAGAGGAGAAAGCUGAGGUUCAGAGAAGUUAAAAAAAAUUUGCCCCAAGCCCCAGAGCUAAUGUACUGCCUUAGGCUAAUAGUCCCUAGAGAAAAAGAAAGAGUCCCAGAGAAAAUCCACUUAUAAGUAAAAGAUAAUUGUCCGUGAUUCCAGGUAAGCUUUCCUGCUCCAAAAUCUCUCUUUCCAUCAGCUUCAGUGACGCCUCACAGUUAAAAGCAGAGAUUCCUUACUUUGACUUAAUGAUAUUGCUCUGGUCAGAGUCCAAAUAGAUUGUAAACCUCACUAGUGAUUUAUGCCUUGUGAUUAACUGAAUUUUCAGUCCCUUUUUGGAGGUGAAGGAUUAGAUGAGCUAUGUAGCUACUGAAGGGUUAGAGGGCAGUGUGUCAGUUGGGACUGUUUUCAGCUCUGAAUCUAUAAAAACAGUGGCUUCAACAGAUGGUCGUUGAGUUAUCCAAGCGGUUCUCAAAGCCUCGUCUCCAGCUAGUGAAAUCAGUAACACCUUGGGAACUUGUUUCAGGCAUGCCUCCCACCCCUGGCCCCACAGAUUUUCUGAAUCAGAUACUCUAGAGGAGGGGCCCAGAAACCUGUGUUUUAAUAAACUUUCCAGGUGACUACGAUACCCACUGGAGUCUGGGAACCACAGGGAUUAAGUUAUCCUAACAAGAAGCCCAGGGUUGAGUGGUAGGGGCUGGUACCAUGGCUCAGCGAUGCUCAGGGUGCUGGCUCCUUCUUUCCCUCUGUUCUGACAUCUUCAGCAUAUGGCUUUCAUCUUUCUGGGAGCAUGUAGAUGCCCCAUCUGCAUUCCAGGUAGGAAAAAUGGGUGAAUCCAGAAUGGGUGGGACCUCUACCUUUUCCAGACACAUUCUGCUUAUGUCUCCUUGACAGUCAAUGUCACACAGCCAGGCCUGGAUGCUACAGAAUCUGGCUCUAAGGAAGUUGUGUUAAGUAUGCACACGGUCCCCUUGCCCUGAAACUGGAAUUCUGUUAGUAAGAACAAGGGGAUGGAUGCCUUGGGCAGGCAAAUCAGCUGGUUCCACUAUUUGCACUCAAAACAGAGGUGAGAGAAGCCAAAAUAGAGCAGUACAUGGUCAGGAUGGACAUAAUCAGCUUCAUUAUUGUUCUGGAGAACGGCUUAAGAUGGAGAGAAGAGGGUACCACCCUCUGAGCUGGUACCCUUGAGAGAGAGUGCUGUUUCACCUUGCAUGACCAUUACUCAUUUGGAGGGACCGGCAGACCCCUCUUGCCCCCAGCGUUCAGGAGACUUUCCAUAAUUUACAGUAACUAAAUCUGAAACACUAGCCUCAGCACCGACAAUGCAUCCUAUCCUCUAAAAAACACACAGGCGAUUAGCAGCAGGGACAGAAACGGAUUAAGAAGGGCUUGUUUUGAUGAGUUUGUUUACAGGAGCUCUCCGCAGCCCAGGAGAAAGGAUGAUGGUUUAUUUUUGCCUCUCGGCCUUGAGCCUGUAUCUCUGCUUGUUGACUUACUCCCAGCUUGGGGAGUUUUUCACUUGCUUUCUAGGUGUACUUGGGAAAAGGGCUCCCCCGCCCCCGACCAGAAAGAAAAUAAAUGUCUUUAUCUUAGGCUUCCAAGGGCCAUUGUCCAACAAAGGGAGGCCAAAGCUGCUAUGCUUUAAGCCUAGGGAGCUAUGGAGGGCAAGAGAGGUGCUUUACCCUGUGGUCUAGCCUUCUGCCUGGGAAGGGCAGGGCCACCACUGCUCACUGGAGACCUUUCCUGUUUCUCUCCUGGGGGAGGGGUUGUGCCCAUCAACACCACAGGUGGGUCCCGUGCAAGUACCAAACAAGCAGCUGCACAGCCCAGAGACUUGGAGCUGUUUGCAGCUCACCUCUCUUUGUACCCCAGCCAACUCACACACACCUGGGAUUUCACCAGCUGCCUGCCCACUGCAACCCCCUUUCCCCACGUGACCUAAUCUUCAUUACACCUGCCACUUUUCAGGGCUGUGAGCCCCAUGCCCACCUUGCCUCAAUAAGGCCUGGCGGGGGAGCGGGGGGUCUGAACAAGACCUACAUUUUGCAUGCCUAAAAUGGUCAACUCCCUCUCAUUUCAUGGCAAAUCAGGAGGGAUUACGGUUUACUGCAAAGAAAGGCUGCAGGGGACAAUCAGUCAGCUUGGUUAUUUGGGGGUCAAAUUAAAUUGGACCUGAGCCCUCAGCUCUAAAAUGGGAUCGAAUUCUCUCUUUGGCAUGAUGUGUGUAUUGCACCAAGAUGACUGUUCCCAUUCUCCGUCUUUGCAUACAGAUGUUGGUUUGCAGUUUUAAAGCACAGCAAGGAGUGAGGCAAAUACACCAGUUUGGAGUUUUGAAGUGAAUGCCGGGUUUCAAUUCAGCAGUUAUUCUGUCCUUUCAGUGUCAAAAGCCUCUUGGGUGCCAGGAGUAAUAAAUCUGAAUCAUCUCCGAUCUGUGUCUUUGGGGAGGUCAAAAUCCAGUAAAGGAUAUAGAGAUGCUAUUAAUAUAAAUUUGACUCUAGCACGGCAAGUAUAAAAACCUAUGGAGACUACCAGUUCUGAUGGGAAACUGGCAAUGGCUUUACAGAGCAACUGACAUUCGAGCUGAGUUUUGAAAAAUGAGGGCCAGGUUUGUACUUUCCUCGAGCAGACACCAGGGACUGACCUGCCGUCAGGCUCUUUUAAUUACGUCUGACAUUGUUUUGUACCAUUACUGCUCCCAACAUUCUGUGCAUGACUACAGUCCAAGGCUAAAAGUGGUAAUCACCUUUGGAAACUGCCAACAAACAUGAAUAGCUCUUCUGGGGCCAACUUUUCUCAAGGAAGUAAUAAAUGUACCCUUGUGGCGAAUGACAGUCAGUCAUGAACGUCUCUGUCUGGCUCCCUCACUGCCUUGUGACUUUGGACAGGAAACAUAACAUAUCAAUUCAUUGCCCUUAACAAAUGUGGUUUCUUUAUGAUGGCCUGAAUCAAUCAACAAGUGAGUUGUAAGCACUCACUGUGUGCUUGGUACUAUUCAUUGCCACUUCUCUGAGUCACAAAAGCGCAGAAAGAUGAAAACUAGGGAACAGAAAGCACAUGCUAAUAGCAAUAUAAGUAAAGAAACAGCCCUGUUAUUUUAAAACAGAGUAUCCUUUUCAGCAGUCACAUAAAGGCUUUAAGCAGUUGGCAAGCUUUCAAAUUCUAACUUCUCUAGUAACUUUUAGCCAGUACUA
RNAcentral lists this long non-coding RNA (5045 nucleotides) under Sus scrofa (pig). Its description in RNAcentral is "lncRNA (ENSSSCG00000054169.1)". The record is from RNAcentral. Lineage: Eukaryota; Metazoa; Chordata; Mammalia; Artiodactyla; Suidae.